GGAGAGGUGGCCGAGCUGGUUUAAGGCAGCCGCCUGCUAAGCGGUUAGUCCGCCAAAAAGCGGGCUCCAGGGUUCGAAUCCCUGCCUCUCCGCCA
RNAcentral lists this transfer RNA (95 nucleotides) under Candidatus Omnitrophota bacterium. RNAcentral describes it as "tRNA-Ser". It matches the Rfam family "tRNA". Rfam says of the family: Transfer RNA (tRNA) molecules are approximately 80 nucleotides in length. The record is from RNAcentral. Lineage: Bacteria; Pseudomonadati; Candidatus Omnitrophota.